UGAGGAAUAUUGCACAAUGGAGGAAACUCUGAUGCAGCAACGCCGCGUGGAGGAUGACGCAUUUCGGUGUGUAAACUCCUUUUAUUAGGGAAGAUAAUGACGGUACCUAAUGAAUAAGCACCGGCUAACUCCGUGCCAGCAGCCGCGGUAAUACGGAGGGUGCAAGCGUUACUCGGAAUCACUGGGCGUAAAGGGUGCGUAGGCUGGCUUCUAAGUCAGAUGUGAAAUCCAAUGGCUCAACCAUUGAACUGCAUUUGAAACUGGGAGCCUAGAGUUCAGAAGGGGCAGAUGGAAUUAGUGGUGUAGGGGUAAAAUCCGUAGAUAUCACUAGGAAUAUCAAAAGCGAAGGCGAUCUGCUGGGAUGAUACUGACGCUGAGGCACGAAAGCGUGGGGAGCAAACAGG
RNAcentral lists this ribosomal RNA (404 nucleotides) under uncultured bacterium. RNAcentral describes it as "bacterial SSU rRNA". It matches the Rfam family "Bacterial small subunit ribosomal RNA", at positions 355 to 776 of the family's 1533-position model. RNAcentral also lists the same sequence under 1 other name. The record is from RNAcentral.